CGGGAGCGGGCCCGGGCCGGGAUCGGGACGCGGAGCCGGAGCGGGCCCGGGCCGGGAUCGGGACGCGGAGCCGGAGCGGGCCCGGGCCAGGCGCUCCCGGCAGGACCCGCGGCCGCUGUGCCGGGAGCGCAGGCGCGGAGCGGGAGCGGCAAUGGCGGAGCCCGGGGAGCGGCGGGGCCGGGCCGGGGACAGCGGGGGAGACUGCGGCGGGCUCGGAGGAGGGAACACCGUGCAGUCGAAGGUCUCAUAGCCUGAGCAGGACAAUCUCUGGACAUGGAAAAUCAGUUUUUCAUUGUUACAGCAUCAGCUCCAGGGAAUGAUGAAGCGAUGUCGUGAUUUUGAACUUGUGCUCAUGGAGGAAAUGCACUGGAACAACCAACACUGCUCCACCUUUAUGGACAACCCUGUGGGUUUGGAUCUUGAUUUGUGGCUGUGAAAUCUCCUCACAGAAACCUCUGGGGCUGACACAAAGACAAGGAACCUUUGAGAUGGAAAGAGCCGGAGCAAGUGGAUGUGAGAAAGGAAAAUUAAAGAUGGGAAACGUUCAGGCAAGAGGUGCCGAAAAGAACCGGAGUUUCUGAUCUGAAGUCUCCAACUGAAAAUCCCCUGUGGAUUGUCACCGGUCCAGUUUUCAUGGACUGCUCACCUUGGCCAGGAGUGUCCAAUCCUGCUGGAAAUGCACUGCACCAGGAUGGCAUUUUCGUUUCGUGCUGGUGAAGACCCUCUGGGUGACCCCCAGGCACUAGAAGGGCUGGCCUGGGCUCCCAGGGCACUAAUUCCAGGAGUUGUGUUUUUGGGAACAGCACAGGAGCCUUUCCCUUGCCCAGAGGAGCAGCCAGUGCCUCUCUUCAUUCACAAAUGCCCAGGAUGGAACACAAGGAAAGGAACAGCAAUGUGGAAAUGCCCCACACUGGGAGCUGAUGGUGCUCUGGAUCACAUUUUGGAUUUCUAAUGUCAAAGGGGCAGUGUGGAGGGGUUUUUCUCUCUCUGCUGUUCAUUGCUGUACUCACUGCCCUUGUUGCUCUCACUGUUACUGUGUGUUGCCAUUACUAUUAAAUUAAAUUAAAUUUGUCUUGGUUUCCAUUAUUAUUAAACUGUUCUGAGCUGGA
Molecule: RNA transcript, 1109 nt
Organism: Prinia subflava (tawny-flanked prinia)
Lineage: Eukaryota; Metazoa; Chordata; Aves; Passeriformes; Cisticolidae
Gene name: myosin heavy chain IB-like
Exons: 3
Source: RefSeq, a predicted model, not a curated record